UUCUUGGAGAGUUUGAUCCUGGCUCAGGACGAACGCUGGCGGCGUGCCUAAUACAUGCAAGUCGA
Molecule: non-coding RNA, 65 nt
Filed under: Neobacillus niacini
Lineage: Bacteria; Bacillati; Bacillota; Bacilli; Caryophanales; Bacillaceae
Also listed under: 4 other names
Description: partial 16S ribosomal RNA
Rfam family: Bacterial small subunit ribosomal RNA
Source: RNAcentral